CUUCUACUUCCUCCGUCCAGAAAAGGAUGUCUGAAAUUUGUCUAAAUUUGGAUGUAUCUAGACACUAAAACAUGUCUAGAUACAUCCAUAUUUUGAAAAUUUUGUGACGUCCUUUUUAGGACGGAGGGAGUAUGUA
Brachypodium distachyon (stiff brome) is the source of this 136-nucleotide non-coding RNA. Lineage: Eukaryota; Viridiplantae; Streptophyta; Magnoliopsida; Poales; Poaceae. The record is from Rfam.